RNAcentral lists this ribosomal RNA (253 nucleotides) under uncultured bacterium. RNAcentral's name for it is "partial 16S ribosomal RNA". It matches the Rfam family "Bacterial small subunit ribosomal RNA", at positions 524 to 776 of the family's 1533-position model. The record is from RNAcentral.
UACGGAGGGGGCUAGCGUUGCUCGGAAUUAUUGGGCGUAAAGAGCUCGUAGGCGGUUUGUCGCGUCUGCUGUGAAAACCCGAGGCUCAACCUCGGGCCUGCAGUGGGUACGGGCAGACUAGAGUGCGGUAGGGGAGAUUGGAAUUCCUGGUGUAGCGGUGGAAUGCGCAGAUAUCAGGAGGAACACCGAUGGCAAAGGCAGAUCUCUGGGCCGUAACUGACGCUGAGGAGCGAAAGCGUGGGGAGCGAACAGG